GGCCAUCGCUCAACGGAUAAAAGCUACCCCGGGGAUAACAGGCUUAUCUCCCCCAAGAGUCCACAUCGACGGGGAGGUUUGGCACCUCGAUGUCGGCUCAUCGCAUCCUGGGGCUGUAGUCGGUCCCAAGGGUUGGGCUGUUCGCCCAUUAAAGCGGUACGCGAGCUGGGUUCAGAACGUCGUGAGACAGUUCGGUCCCUAUCCGUCGUGGGCGUAGGAAAUUUGAGAGGAGCUGUCCUUAGUACGAGAGGACCGGGAUGGACGCACCGCUGGUGUACCAGUUGUUCUGCCAAGGGCAUAGCUGGGUAGCUAUGUGCGGAAGGGAUAAGUGCUGAAAGCAUCUAAGCAUGAAGCCCCCCUCAAGAUGAGAUUUCCCAUAGCGUAAGCUAGUAAGAUCCCUGAAAGAUGAUCAGGUUGAUAGGUUCGAGGUGGAAGCAUGGUGACAUGUGGAGCUGACGAAUACUAAUAGAUCGAGGACUUAACCAUAUAA
RNAcentral lists this ribosomal RNA (490 nucleotides) under Bacillus anthracis (anthrax bacterium). Its description in RNAcentral is "bacterial LSU rRNA". It matches the Rfam family "Bacterial large subunit ribosomal RNA", at positions 2440 to 2925 of the family's 2925-position model. The record is from RNAcentral. Lineage: Bacteria; Bacillati; Bacillota; Bacilli; Caryophanales; Bacillaceae.